RNAcentral lists this ribosomal RNA (654 nucleotides) under uncultured archaeon. Its description in RNAcentral is "bacterial SSU rRNA". It matches the Rfam family "Archaeal small subunit ribosomal RNA", at positions 1 to 662 of the family's 1478-position model. The record is from RNAcentral.
UUCCGGUUGAUCCUGCCGGACCUGACUGCUAUCGGAUUGAUACUAAGCCAUGCGAGUCAUUGUAGCAAUACAAGGCAGACGGCUCAGUAACGCGUAGUCAACCUAACCUAUGGACGGGAAUAACCUCGGGAAACUGAGAAUAAUGCCCGAUAGAACACUAUACCUGGAAUGGUUUGUGUUCCAAAUGAUUUAUCGCCGUAGGAUGGGACUGCGGCCUAUCAGUUUGUUGGUGAGGUAAUGGCCCACCAAGACUAUUACAGGUACGGGCUCUGAGAGGAGUAGCCCGGAGAUGGGUACUGAGACACGGACCCAGGCCCUAUGGGGCGCAGCAGGCGAGAAAACUUUGCAAUGUGCGAAAGCACGACAAGGUUAAUCCGAGUGAUUUGUGCUAAACGAAUCUUUUGUUAGUCCUAGAACCACUAACGAAUAAGGGGUGGGCAAGUUCUGGUGUCAGCCGCCGCGGUAAAACCAGCACCUCAAGUGGUCAGGAUGAUUAUUGGGCCUAAAGCAUCCGUAGCCGGCUCUGUAAGUUUUCGGUUAAAUCUGUACGCUUAACGUACAGGCUGCCGGGAAUACUGCAGAGCUAGGGAGUGGGAGAGGUAGACGGUACUCGGUAGGAAGGGGUAAAAUCCUUUGAUCUAUUGAUGACCACCU